UAUAUUUCAAUGCUUUUCCAUGGAUUGAAUCAAAUGAUUCUUCAGCCUUAUAAUGUUUUCUGUAGUACUCACCAAUAUUGAAGAACAUCUGUAAGCGAAGACUUAUCUUAUUAAAUCAUAAUUAUGAAGUGAAUACUGUUAACAAUGAAACUUUUCAAAAAUAUGUGUCAUCAGAGUUGCUGACACCUGUAAGUCAGCUUCUGAGUGUCUCGGAGCUUGCAUAGACUGAAUGAAUUUUAGAGAAAGAGACUCCUCCGCCCCCUGGAAAUCAAGAUAUAAAAAAAGAAAAUUUGAUGGGAACCACCAUUAUCAAGAAGGAGACCACAUUUCCAAAAUGGUUGUUACGGCGAGUCGACUACAUUUCUUUGCAUCACAUUUUGGAACUUCGUGACCCCAGGAAUCAUUAUACUUACCAAUCAAAUCAUUUGUCUUUAUUACUUCAUAGCAUUACUGCUGCGCCCAACUGAUAUUUUGGUAUAGUACUUUGAAUGUGAAAUGAAAAAAAGAAGGAGACUACAAUUUCGAAGGCUCUCACUCGAACAGAGUUUGUGGAGAAAUAUUACACUCCUUGAUAAGAGAUUGAAUCUCUUAAAAACAGGAAGAAAAUUAAUGAAGGAAUUCUUCCCACAAAAAAGGAUAGAGAAGCGAAAGUUAUGAUUAAUACACAGAUAAUUAAAAUAAAAGUGGAGUAGUGAGAACCGUUUUGCAAUCACAGAGUCAAAUCCAAGGUGUCCCACCCUGGAUUUGUCUUUGUGACUUUGGGUGAGGCACAGAUGGCACCUGAUCAACUUAAUUAAAAUCAAAAUCAAUAUUUGA
Molecule: long non-coding RNA, 816 nt
Organism: Harmonia axyridis
Lineage: Eukaryota; Metazoa; Arthropoda; Insecta; Coleoptera; Coccinellidae
Exons: 4
Source: RefSeq, a predicted model, not a curated record